AAAAAGAUAAGCUAAUGAAGCUAUUAGGUUCAUACCCUAUGAAUAAAGGUUUUAAUCCUUUUCUUUUUA
This 69-nucleotide transfer RNA is filed under the name Astenus lyonessius. RNAcentral's name for it is "tRNA-Met". It matches the Rfam family "tRNA". Rfam says of the family: Transfer RNA (tRNA) molecules are approximately 80 nucleotides in length. Their secondary structure includes four short double-helical elements and three loops (D, anti-codon, and T loops). The record is from RNAcentral. Lineage: Eukaryota; Metazoa; Arthropoda; Insecta; Coleoptera; Staphylinidae.